This 359-nucleotide unclassified non-coding RNA is filed under the name Dermatophagoides pteronyssinus (European house dust mite). RNAcentral describes it as "uncharacterized LOC113798035, transcript variant X2". Lineage: Eukaryota; Metazoa; Arthropoda; Arachnida; Sarcoptiformes; Pyroglyphidae. The record is from RNAcentral.
ACAACAACAACAACAAGACAUUCAUUGUGUUUACAUAUUAUAAUAGCCAAAAUUAACUUUCUUUAAAAAUUAGAAAUGAGCCAUAAGAAAAUUCAUUAAUCAAUACAUUUAUCAUUUUGAAAAUAAAUGAAUGAUUUUAUCUGGUUCGUCUGAUUUUUUCAUCAUUUUUUCCAGAAGUUUUAAAUACUCGAAGAAAAAAAUUAAUAUUCAUAAAGUAGUAGUGGUGAACAGAAAAAAAAACAAACUCAUCAUUUGUUGCAUUUUGUUUUUUGUCUUGUUUUGUAAAAUAUAAAGAAUUUUUUUUUGUUUGUUUGCUAAAUUUGUUAAAAGAAUGCCAAUACUCUACGAUACUCGACGAU